UUUUAAAGAAUUAAGAUUCUUCGAAGAAAUGUCGAGGGACGAGGUAACAUUCCCACCGAGUAUAAAUGUGAAACAAAAGAUGAAAUUCCGGUCGAAUAUGUCACUUUAUUGGGACAAUGAUGUCAUUCGCGGCAAAUCCUCCGUUUCAAGCAUGAUCACUCUUCAAAUUGUAAAAUGUACACCGCGUUAAGAGAAAUCAACUAGCCAGUGAUGAAGACUGGCUGGAGACACUAGUAAUUUCAAAUAU
Hylaeus anthracinus is the source of this 247-nucleotide long non-coding RNA. RefSeq lists it as uncharacterized. Lineage: Eukaryota; Metazoa; Arthropoda; Insecta; Hymenoptera; Colletidae. The record is from RefSeq and is a predicted model, not a curated record. The transcript is spliced from 3 exons.